GUUACCCCCGGGGGGGGCUUGUUACCCCUGGAGGGGGUCGUUACCCCCAGGGGGGGGUCGUUACCAGGUGUCGCUGGAGGCAGCGGAGGCUGUGGCCGUAUUUGAGGCAGAACUCGCAGAGGUAGAGGACGGGCAGCGCCGUCAGCUCCUGCGGGUAGGGCGAGAAGUACCAGGGCUUGAGGCGAUGGCGGCCCAGCUCGAUGCACUCGAUGUUCUUCAUCCGCGUCACGAUGUCGUCGUGGCUGCGGUCCGACACCAGGCUGCCCGUCAUGCGCGGCGCCGACGGCGCGCCGUCCGAGGAGUCCUGCGAGUCCUGGGGUGGGGGGGAAAAGGAGGCACCCAGGGGUGAGGCCCGCACCCAGGGGUGAGGCCCGCACCCAGUCCCAGAAGCCCCUGUCUUUAUUUUCCUGUGUUUUAGGCGUUUUUGCCUUGUUUUUGCCUUGUUUUUGCCUCCGUUUCCCCAUGUCAAGGCCUUUUUGCGUUACUUUUGCCUCAGUUUCCCCAUGCCGAGGCUUUUUUGCAUUGCUUUUGCCUCAGUUUCCCCAUUUUGAGGCCUUUUCCCCUCAUUUUUGUGUUGCUUUUGCCUCAGUUUCCCCAUUUGAGGCCUUCUCCCCUCAUUUUUGCGUUGCUUUUGCCUCGGUUUCUCCAUUUUGAGGCCUUUUCCCCUCCUUUUUGUGUUGCUUUUGCCUCGGUUUCUCCAUUUUGAUGCCUUUUCCCCUCCUUUUUGCGUUGCUUUUGCCUCAGUUUCCCCAUUUUGAGGCCUUCUCCCCUCCUUUUUGCGUUGCUUUUGCCUCAGUUUCCCCAUUUUGAGGCCUUCUCCCUCAUUUUUGCGUUGCUUUUGCCUCAGUUUCCCCAUUUUGAGGCCUUUUCCCCUCAUUUUUGCGUUGCUUUUGCCUUGGUUUCCCCAUUUUGAGGCCUUCUCCCCUCAAUUUUGCAUUGCUUUUGCCUCGGUUUCCCCAUUUUGAGGCCUUCUCCCCUUAUUUUUGCAUUGCUUUUGCCUCGGUUUCCCCAUUUUGAGGCCUUUUCCCCUCAUUUUUGCGUUGCUUUUGCCUCGGUUUCCCCAUUUUGAGGCCUUUUCCCCUCAUUUUUGUGUUGCUUUUGCCUCGGUUUCCCCAUUUCAAGGCUUUCUCCCUCAAUUUUCCCUUGUUUUUGCCUCAGUUUCCCCAUUUCAAAGCCUCAUUCCCUCAUUUUCGCGUUGCUUCUGCCUCGUUUUCUCCAUUUUGAGGCUUUUUUCCCUCAUUUUUUCCCUGCUUUGGUCUCAGUUUCCCUAUUUUAAGGCAUUUUCUCCUGUUUUUGCCUCAGUUUCCCCAUUUCAAGGUUUAUUCCCCAUGUUUUCUUCCUGCUUUUGCCUCAGUUUCCCCAUUUUGAGGCCUUUUCCCCUAAUUUUUGCGUUGCUUCUGCCUCAGUUUCCCAAUUUCAAAGCUUUUUUCCCCAUGUUUUCUUCCUGCUUUUGCUUCAGCUUCUCCAUUUCAAGGCUUUCUCCCUCAUUUUUGCCUUGUUUUUGCCUCAGUUUCCCCAUUUCAAGGCAUUUUCCGCCUGCCUUUGCCCCAGUUUCCCCAUUUUGAGGCUUCUUUUCCCCUCAUUAUUGCCUCGUUU
RNAcentral lists this long non-coding RNA (1596 nucleotides) under Anas platyrhynchos platyrhynchos (common mallard). Its description in RNAcentral is "lncRNA (ENSAPLG00000017957.1)". The record is from RNAcentral. Lineage: Eukaryota; Metazoa; Chordata; Aves; Anseriformes; Anatidae.